Syzygium oleosum is the source of this 545-nucleotide long non-coding RNA. RefSeq lists it as uncharacterized. Lineage: Eukaryota; Viridiplantae; Streptophyta; Magnoliopsida; Myrtales; Myrtaceae. The record is from RefSeq and is a predicted model, not a curated record. The transcript has 3 exons.
CUCCCACUCCCCACACCCACGACUCGACAAGACCCUCUCGCCUCUCCUCGCUCCGUUUGGCGUCCGCCUCGGCUCUUCCUCUGUCUUCAUCAACCACGGUCCAGCUCAUCCACGGCGGAUUUCCGAGGCUGGGUUCUUUUGGUGACCAAUCGAGCGGCCUGUGGCUGGAGGCGCAAGAAGGGAGCGAGCAAGGACAAGAUUUCAGAUCGGGCUAUGCCAACUUUCGGUGACGGCGGAUAAAGAGAGGAACAUUGCCCAUGCUCGCGACGCGAUUCGGGAAUUUUUUUUUUCUUUCCGAAAAUGGGCAUCAAGGUAGUUCCACCUCCCUCUUCUUCAUUGUUGAUUGAGUCGUCCGUUGAUUUCGAUAGGGGCUGAUGAAGCUACUGGCGGACAAUGCCCCUAAGGCGAUGAGGGAGCAGAAGCUGGAGAGCUACUUCGGCCGGAGGAUCGCCGUCGAUGCCAGCAUGAGCAUCUAUCAGUUCCUCGUUGUGGUUGGGAGGAAGGGGACUCAUAUGCUCACCAAUGAGGCUGGUCAAGUCACCAGG